GAUGAACGCUAGCGGGAGGCCUAACACAUGCAAGCCGAGCGGUAUAGAUCUUUCGGGAUCUAGAGAGCGGCGUACGGGUGCGGAACACGUGUGCAACCUGCCUUUAUCUGGGGGAUAGCCUUUCGAAAGGGAGAUUAAUACCCCAUAAUAUAUCAGAUGGCAUCAUUUGAUAUUGAAAACUCCGGUGGAUAGAGAUGGGCACGCGCAAGAUUAGAUAGUUGGUGAGGUAACGGCUCACCAAGUCUACGAUCUUUAGGGGGCCUGAGAGGGUGAUCCCCCACACUGGUACUGAGACACGGACCAGACUCCUACGGGAGGCAGCAGUGAGGAAUAUUGGACAAUGGGUGAGAGCCUGAUCCAGCCAUCCCGCGUGAAGGACGACGGCCCUAUGGGUUGUAAACUUCUUUUGUAUAGGGAUAAACCUACCCUCGUGAGGGUAGCUGAAGGUACUAUACGAAUAAGCACCGGCUAACUCCGUGCCAGCAGCCGCGGUAAUACGGAGGGUGCAAGCGUUAUCCGGAUUUAUUGGGUUUAAAGGGUCCGUAGGCGGAUGUGUAAGUCAGUGGUGAAAUCUCACAGCUUAACUGUGAAACUGCCAUUGAUACUGCAUGUCUUGAGUGUUGUUGAAGUAGCUGGAAUAAGUAGUGUAGCGGUGAAAUGCAUAGAUAUUACUUAGAACACCAAUUGCGAAGGCAGGUUACUAAGCAACAACUGACGCUGAUGGACGAAAGCGUGGGGAGCGAACAGGAUUAGAUACCCUGGUAGUCCACGCCGUAAACGAUGCCUAACUCGUUUUUGGGCUUUCGGGUUCAGAGACUAAGCGAAAGUGAUAAGUUAGCCACCUGGGGAGUACGUUCGCAAGAAUGAAACUCAAAGGAAUUGACGGGGGCCCGCACAAGCGGUGGAUUAUGUGGUUUAAUUCGAUGAUACGCGAGGAACCUUACCAAGGCUUAAAUGGGAAAUGACAGGUUUAGAAAUAGACUUUUCUUCGGACAUUUUUCAAGGUGCUGCAUGGUUGUCGUCAGCUCGUGCCGUGAGGUGUUAGGUUAAGUCCUGCAACGAGCGCAACCCCUGUCACUAGUUGCCAUCAUUAAGUUGGG
This 1100-nucleotide ribosomal RNA is filed under the name Chryseobacterium sp. M126. Its description in RNAcentral is "bacterial SSU rRNA". It matches the Rfam family "Bacterial small subunit ribosomal RNA", at positions 28 to 1135 of the family's 1533-position model. The record is from RNAcentral. Lineage: Bacteria; Pseudomonadati; Bacteroidota; Flavobacteriia; Flavobacteriales; Weeksellaceae. RNAcentral also lists the same sequence under 1 other name.